UCCGUAGGCGGUCUUUUAAGUCAGUGGUGAAAUCCCAGAGCUCAACUCUGGAACUGCCAUUGAAACUGAAAGACUUGAAUAUGGUUGAGGUAGGCGGAAUACGUUAUGUAGCGGUGAAAUGCAUAGAUAUAACGUAGAACACCAAUUGCGAAGGCAGCUUACUAAACCAUUAUUGACGCUGAUGGACGAAAGCGUGGGAGCGAACAGGAUUAGAUACCCUGGUAGUCC
RNAcentral lists this ribosomal RNA (228 nucleotides) under uncultured bacterium. Its description in RNAcentral is "partial 16S ribosomal RNA". It matches the Rfam family "Bacterial small subunit ribosomal RNA", at positions 568 to 796 of the family's 1533-position model. The record is from RNAcentral.